CACGGUGGUUAUGGUGGGAAGAAGCAGCAUUUCCCAGAAAGGCUGAAUGUUGACCCCUGCACCUGCCAUCUCCAGCCUUGCUGGGGACAAGGUUCGGGGAUCCUCUGAGGACUGCUGUGACGGCCACAGGUCAUCUGCGGAUUCCCAGGCGAGGACCUUCGCAAGAAUGAGCACCUAGCGGGCUGCGAGAGGUGCAAAGCCCGGUUGGCAAAGAUACCAGCUGAGCAUCCCAGAGGCCUGGAGCUGCCUGGGAGACGUCGUUGCUGGAAAGGCCAAGGAUGAGAAAAUCAAGUCUGAGACAAGUUCUCCCAGCAACGUGUGAAUGUGUGCGUCACUACCGCCCGCUACUGUGCAGAAGGUAGGUGAGUAACUGGCCCAGCGUCACACAGCCAGGGACAGAUCUGAAACUCCUGUCAACACAAGACAGCAAGCCUAGUCCUCGAACGCACCUCUCCUACUUUUGGAUCCCGGGCUCCUGGGAUGGAAGGCGGGCCAGCUGCAGGGAGCAGGCUUGAGACACGGGGCCAUGGCUGGGCUCCGACCCAGAAGGCCCCUCUCCCCUGCGGUGGGAGUCUCUUCUCGUGGUUCCAUUGCUCAGUUAUGAAUAAAUUGUUUAAACUUGG
This is a non-coding RNA of Ictidomys tridecemlineatus (thirteen-lined ground squirrel), 623 nucleotides long. The record is from RefSeq and is a predicted model, not a curated record. Lineage: Eukaryota; Metazoa; Chordata; Mammalia; Rodentia; Sciuridae.